UUUGGUUUUNAANUGGCUCAGGAUGAACGCUGSCGGCGUGCCUAAUACAUGCAAGUCGAACGAACUUUCCGUUAAUUGAUUAUGACGUGCUUGCACUGAAUGAGAUUUUAACACGAAGUGAGUGGCGGACGGGUGAGUAACACGUGGGUAACCUGCCCAGAAGCAGGGGAUAACACCUGGAAACAGAUGCUAAUACCGUAUAACAGAGAAAACCGCCUGGUUUUCUUUUAAAAGAUGGCUCUGCUAUCACUUCUGGAUGGACCCGCGGCGCAUUAGCUAGUUGGUGAGGUAACGGCUCACCAAGGCGAUGAUGCGUAGCCGACCUGAGAGGGUAAUCGGCCACAUUGGGACUGAGACACGGCCCAGACUCCUACGGGAGGCAGCAGUAGGGAAUCUUCCACAAUGGACGCAAGUCUGAUGGAGCAACGCCGCGUGAGUGAAGAAGGGUUUCGGCUCGUAAAGCUCUGUUGUUAAAGAAGAACGUGGGUGAGAGUAACUGUUCMCCCAGUGACGGUAUUUAACCAGAAAGCCACGGCUAACUACGUGCCA
RNAcentral lists this ribosomal RNA (549 nucleotides) under Pediococcus acidilactici. RNAcentral's name for it is "bacterial SSU rRNA". It matches the Rfam family "Bacterial small subunit ribosomal RNA", at positions 1 to 510 of the family's 1533-position model. Lineage: Bacteria; Bacillati; Bacillota; Bacilli; Lactobacillales; Lactobacillaceae. The record is from RNAcentral.